GACGAACCGAGCGAACGUUGUUCGGAAUCACUGGGCUUAAAGGGCGCGUAGGCGGGUUCUCAAGUCUGGGGUGAAAUCCCACAGCUCAACUGUGGAACUGCCUCGGAUACUGGGGGCCUCGAGGGUGGUAGGGGUAUGCGGAACUAUCGGUGGAGCGGUGAAAUGCGUUGAUAUCGAUAGGAACUCCGGUGGCGAAGGCGGCAUACUGGACCACAUCUGACGCUGAGGCGCGAAAGCCAGGGGAGCAAACGGG
RNAcentral lists this ribosomal RNA (253 nucleotides) under uncultured bacterium. RNAcentral's name for it is "partial 16S ribosomal RNA". It matches the Rfam family "Bacterial small subunit ribosomal RNA", at positions 524 to 776 of the family's 1533-position model. The record is from RNAcentral.